CCUACGGGAGGCAGCAGUGAGGAAUAUUGGUCAAUGGGCGGAAGCCUGAACCAGCCAAGUCGAGUGAGGGAUUAAGGCCCUGCGGGUCGUAAACCUCUUUUGCCGGGGAGCAGAGGUCCGGACGUGUCCGGGCCGGGAGAGUACCCGGAGAAAAAGCAUCGGCUAACUCCGUGCCAGCAGCCGCGGGAAUACGGAGGAUGCGAGCGUUAUCCGGAUUUAUUGGGUUAAAAGGGUGCGUAGGCGGGCAUUUAAGCCGUCGGUCAAAUGUCGGGGCUCAACCCCGGCCUGCCGUCGGAACUGGGUGCCUUGAGUGGGCGAGAGGUAUGCGGAAUGCGUGGUGUAGCGGUGAAAUGCAUAGAUAUCACGCAGAACCCCGAUUGCGAAGGCAGCAUACCGGCGCCCUACUGACGCUGAGGCACGAAAGUGCGGGUAUCGAACAGGAUUAGAUACCCCUGUAGUC
Molecule: ribosomal RNA, 460 nt
Filed under: uncultured bacterium
Lineage: Bacteria
Description: partial 16S ribosomal RNA
Rfam family: Bacterial small subunit ribosomal RNA
Source: RNAcentral